Magnolia sinica is the source of this 276-nucleotide long non-coding RNA. RefSeq lists it as uncharacterized. The record is from RefSeq and is a predicted model, not a curated record. The transcript is spliced from 3 exons. Lineage: Eukaryota; Viridiplantae; Streptophyta; Magnoliopsida; Magnoliales; Magnoliaceae.
AGGGAGGAAGCCGCGGAAGCCCCACAGGUUCAGGCUGGGGACUGUGGCUCUUUGGGAGAUACGGAAGUAUCAGUCCUGUGAGCUGUUGAUACCCACAGCUACUUUCAUUCGAUGCGUGGGUAAGGGAGCUAACUGCUUUCUAUUCUAGGGGAGUUAAUUAUUGGAUGGCUGAAGCUUUAGUAGCAAUCCAAGAUGCAGCUAAAGAUUAUUUGGUCCAUUUGUUCGAAGACGGAAUGAUUUGUGCCUUCUAGGCAAAACGUGUUACGCUUAGUAAGU